This 253-nucleotide ribosomal RNA is filed under the name uncultured bacterium. RNAcentral describes it as "partial 16S ribosomal RNA". It matches the Rfam family "Bacterial small subunit ribosomal RNA", at positions 524 to 776 of the family's 1533-position model. The record is from RNAcentral.
UACGAAGGGUGCAAGCGUUACUCGGAAUUACUGGGCGUAAAGCGUGCGUAGGUGGUUUUUUAAGUCCGUUGUGAAAGCCCUGGGCUCAACCUGGGAAUGGCAGUGGAUACUGGAAAGCUAGAGUGCGGUAGAGGGUAGUGGAAUUCCCGGUGUAGCGGUGAAAUGCGUAGAUAUCUGGAGGAACACCGGUGGCGAAGGCGGCAUCCUGGACCGAUACUGACGCUGAUGAGCGAAAGCCAGGGGAGCAAACGGG